This 338-nucleotide long non-coding RNA is filed under the name Mytilus galloprovincialis (Mediterranean mussel). Lineage: Eukaryota; Metazoa; Mollusca; Bivalvia; Mytilida; Mytilidae. The record is from RNAcentral.
CUGUGACCUUGACCAGUUGCUGUUUAACAGAAAAUCUGUGUUAAAAAUAUUCUUUUUUCAUAUAAAACGUUACCAAAUGUUAGGUUUUAAUCCUAGACUUUAUCCUUUCAUAAACAAUAAAUUUGGGUAACUGGUGUGGCAAUUAUCGUAUGAAAUGUUAUGGAUACAAGAACCCAUUACCAUCCAAGUAAACAAGUCAUCAAAUACAGUUAUAUUUUGCAGUUUUGUGACAAGAAGAAAAGAAAGUUUGUGAAACUAAGUAUUUGUCAUUCUGUCUUCUUCAUACUUUCCAAACCAUAUCAUAUGAAAUGAUAAUGAAAUCUUGUGUCCAAGCUUUG